AGGAUGAACGCUGGCGGCGUGCUUAACACAUGCAAGUCGAACGGUGAAAGAGGAGCUUGCUCCUCUGGAUCAGUGGCGAACGGGUGAGUAACACGUGAGAAAUCUGCCCUGGACUCUGGGAUAAGCGUUGGAAACGACGUCUAAUACCGGAUACGAGCUUCAGCCGCAUGGCUAGAAGCUGGAAAGAACUUCGGUCCAGGAUGAUCUCGCGGCCUAUCAGUUAGUUGGUGAGGUAACGGCCCACCAAGGCGACGACGGGUAGCCGGCCUGAGAGGGUGACCGGGCCACACUGGGACUGAGACACGGCCCAGACUCCUACGGGAGGCAGCAGUGGGGAAUAUUGCACAAUGGGCGCAAGCCUGAUGCAGCAACGCCGCGUGAGGACGACGGCCUUCGGUGUAACCUCUUUAGUAGGAAGAAGCGAAAGUGACGGUACCUGCAAGAAAAAGCAACCGGCUAACUACGUGCCAGCAGCCGACGGUAACUCGUGAGCGGGUACG
Molecule: ribosomal RNA, 500 nt
Filed under: uncultured soil bacterium
Lineage: Bacteria
Description: bacterial SSU rRNA
Rfam family: Bacterial small subunit ribosomal RNA
Source: RNAcentral